This is a non-coding RNA of Procambarus clarkii (red swamp crayfish), 3531 nucleotides long. Lineage: Eukaryota; Metazoa; Arthropoda; Malacostraca; Decapoda; Cambaridae. The record is from RefSeq and is a predicted model, not a curated record.
GAUAAGCACCUCCAAAGGAUACCUGAUCAACCAGGCUGUGAGCAGCCGCGUCCAACAGUCUGGAGAACCAGGAGGCCUGGUUGACGACCGGGCCGCAAGGACGCUAAGGCCCAGAAGCACUAAGUUAACCUCAAGGUCAUAAGAUUGGCUGGAGCAGUUUGCUGGCAAAAACGGCACUGAAGUAAUGGCUAGUGGUUGUAACUUAAUGUGACCAUUCACCAGCGUUUAACUACAGGGAUCAUGUGUACACAAAGGUAGUCGUCGACGAAAGUUGUUGGCAAGUGAGAAAUCGUGAGCGUCCAAGAGUGAUGGUAUUUGAAGAUGUCAUUGGAAGUAAACUCUUCACUUGGUGUAAAUAAGUGCACAAGGAAUGUGAGAAAUUGCCAGAAUGUGGAAUAAGUAAUAGUAAAAUAAGAAAUGUUGUGGUUGUAUUAUUGAAUAACUCAUUCUGCUGUUCAGAUCUCUUAUGUGUGCAGCAUAGUAAGACAUUGUAAGGAAGUAGGUAGGAGUUUGUAGUAUAGACUUAAGUGUCUGGGUGAGAUGUAUGAUUAUGUUACUUUAGCACCCAUGUACUAUUAGUGUUCAGAGAUUGUGUAUUAAGCGUAGAAAGGUUAGUUUAGGUUUUAAGUAGAAGAUGGCUAUUUUGUUUAAGAUGGUGAAUAUUAGGGAUUUGUAGUAUAUUUGGAUAUGUAUUGAAAUGACAAAGACUGGAGUGUUGCAUUAGGAUAAAAAAUAAAAUGAUUAAAGAUAGAAGAAAAUGGAAUACAGUCUAAAGUUUGGUAGGAGGAAAGUGAAAGUUGCAGUGUUUAGUUUUGAAAUUUAUUCAUAGAUGUUGUAAAUAGCACUUUUAUAUGAAAAUAGAAGGGAAAAAGCAUAGGUAAGAUUGGCAUAAAUAGUAAAAAUAUAACAUGAAAGUCUAGUAGAGAGGUUAGCGUUUGGUACAUUUGUAAAUGUAUUAAAAUGCCAAAAAAAUAAGUUGUGUGCAUAAGAUAUUAGUUAGUUGUAUGUUGGCGUAAAUAUGUUAAAAAUGUUAAUUGUGUGUAAUAGGCUGCAGGUCUAAUUUUGGGUACAAGAGGUAUUGUGUAAAGUGUUAUUAGAAUUGCAUUGAAAAAUGUAAUAAAUGUUGGCUGGAAUUGUGUAAAGUUCGUUAACUAUGAUAAAAAAUAGUGAGAUUGUUAAAGGGUUUCUAGUGUUAGAGUAAAGAAAAUAAUUGGCACUGAAAGAAUGUAGUCGGUUAUUGGAAAUGUCAUACGUUAGUGCUGUAAACAUUUCAUAACGUUAGAUCAGAAAUGAAUUUUCAAUUGUAAUUCUUCAUGGCGAUGCGAGGUAGUUUAGAUAAAUAAGCUUAAGUUAUUGUUGCAGAAAGUUGAAGUUAGGUUUAAAUGUAAGAAAUAGAAUGUAUAAAAUUUACAAUGGUAAGAGUGAAAAGUUUUUCAAGUAAUGUGUACCUAUUUUUAAUAUUUAAAUAAAGGAGGGUGUGGGAUAAAAUAUAUUGGAGGAUGAAUUGUAACAAUGUCAGGGUAAGAAGGAUGGAGCUGAUGAGGGUUUAAAGCUUGGGUGAUAUUGCAGCUGUAAGACAUUGACAUAAGUGUUUUAGUAAGUUGAUCUAUGAGAGCAUAGGUUCCUCUUUGAACGUGUAUUAAAUGUAAAAGUUUAUUUUAGGUCAGAUUGGCUGGAGGAAUUUGCUGCCAGAACGUGGUAAAGCGACUGUUCAGGAGUGUUUGACUACAGUACAUAUUUACACAAGGUAGUCAUCCAAGAGUUGUUGGGAAAUCAGGUUAUACGAGAGGGUGUUGGCGAGUCUUCAUAUGGUAGAAGUGUUGAAAGUAAAGGACCACUACCCAUGGGUUGUGUAUACUGAAAUAGUAAAAGCGGGAAUUGACUAUUUCACCCCUGACUAAUGAAUGCUUAAUGAAGAGAUGAUGGUAUUUGAGGAAGUAAAAUCUUCAGUUGGUUUGAAGGAAAUAAGGCUUUUGGAAAUUAUAGGCAGAAGGCUGGAAAAUAUGAACGUGACAGAACUGUUUAGUGUAAUUUGGUUUUAGGCAUGUACACUAGAGCUUAAUCUUGGAUGUAGGAUAAUGCAUGUAUGCAAAUACAGAAAAUUUAUAGUUGUAAGUGGGUAUAAAAACUGUGGUCCUCAAAUUUUAUUUAAAUAGUACCAAAACAAGAGUGUGGAUCAGCGUGAGUAAGUAUUCAGUAGUGAAUAUUGUAUUUACUUUUGAUAUAAGGGAAAAAAAGCAGAUGGAAUGUGUUAAAUGACACAUUAAGGUUAAUGGGGAAAAAUGUUAGUAAAAUGUGAACAUGGAUGUAGUAAAUAUAGAAUUGGAGAGAAAUGCAAUUGUAAAACAGAAAAUGGGCUAAAUAUAGAAGUUUAAGUUUAGUUAAAAGUAUAGCAUGCAUCAAUGGUGUCACAAAUCAAAUAUUAUGGGCAGCAACUUGUGGUUGUGUUAUACUUGAAAUAGUUUUGAAGAUGUGUUUUUUCUUGACAAACAAAAUGUUAUAUGAAAAAUAAAGUAAGGUGUUUGUAUAAAAAAUGUUGCUUGUGUUUGAGUUAAGGUGUUCCUCAUAAGGUUACAAUGUAAGACGUGAAUAUAUUGCAAUACGACAAAUGUGAGGCUUUAGGAAAAUAAAUUUAUAAAAUAUAGAAAGGUUGUAUGGUAAAACGGUGAUCUCCUGGAUAGGCUUGACGUUUCUUUAUAAUAUUGGAAGAAAGGAUGGUGUAGUUCUUAAUAUAUUAGAGGUUAGACACUAAAUGUGUACUUUAGUUAGAUGUAGUUAAUCAUUGAACAUAAAUAAUAAGAGAAAAAUGGAUGUAUGAAAGUAUUGUGAUUUAAUGAGUUGUUUGACAUGAAUGUGAUAAAAUAGGAAAAUAGCCAUAGGUUCAAGUAGUUAAAAAUGCAUUAGUACUUUACCAUUUGAAAUAGUAUGUAAUUUCAGGUUAUACAAGAGGGGUUUGGUGAGUGUCUUUGUAUGGGAGACUGGUGAAGAACUAGAGGACCAGGAGCCAUAUUUACGUGCAUGUGUUGUGGCGAUGUCGGAAAUUUGUGCCACCCCCUGAGAAGUAACAGAAUUGGUUGAAAAUCUCAAAGUUUAUGAGGGAUGGUCGACUUGUGGUCCUGGCGAGAAACUAUGGGUAGUUUGUUGCACUGUAUGGGGGGCCUGGUAGAGGACACUAAAAGGCUGAAGUUAAUGUCAUGAUGGACGAAUGGUUUCAGUUGAAUAGGAAAUGAAUAAGGCUUAGUGAAAAAUGAUUGUCAUAGUACAGAAUGAUGUAUUAAGUGGGUGCAUAAAAUGUUUAAGUUAAUGAAGAUUUAAAGUUGAGUAUAUAUAAAUUAUGGUUUUCAUGUAUGUUUAAAAUAGUAUGAAAGUAGGAAGAAUAGUAUUAAGUAAAGAUAGAAAGUGUAAAUACGAUAAAGAAAUGAUAGUUCAGUAUGUUACAUAUAAAUGUUUUGACAAAUGCAUAAAUAGUAUGUUAUGAAAUAUUUGUAGGUUUAUAGUUGAGGGAGUCGCUUACCCAUGUAAAUUGUGUUG